CGCAGCCAGUGCUCCCAGCACUUAAUUUUUCUCUUUUUUUCCUCCUGGUUGCCUUUAUCAGAUCAUCACUGCCUUGUUGCAGAAUUGGACCAGCAUGGCUGGGUGCUGAGCUGAUGAGACCAUCCUCUUCCUGAGAGCAAGAGAAGCCAGGCACCAGAAAGUAUUGAAGAUGUGGUAGAAAAGGCCCCGGCAGAACGUGGUGGGCAGCCCAGCCCACCGGGGAAGAAGGCGGCGAGGCACAGAAGUGCGCGCUGGGAGAGCCCUGCAGCAGCUGGGGCAGGCAGGGCUGGUGGAGAGCUGGCCUGGGUGGGAAAUAUCCUCCUUGGGGGGCAGGAAAACCAACCAGCCCAAACUGGGAGCCGAACCUCCACAGCCGCCUCGGACUUGCCCUCGCGACCUUCGCCAGGAGCAGCCCUGAGAGAAGACACCACCUCUUUGUGUCACAAAAGCAAAUAAACCCCAUAAAAUAUCCAC
Molecule: long non-coding RNA, 474 nt
Organism: Aquila chrysaetos chrysaetos
Lineage: Eukaryota; Metazoa; Chordata; Aves; Accipitriformes; Accipitridae
Exons: 2
Source: RefSeq, a predicted model, not a curated record